Molecule: ribosomal RNA, 384 nt
Filed under: uncultured bacterium
Lineage: Bacteria
Description: bacterial SSU rRNA
Rfam family: Bacterial small subunit ribosomal RNA
Source: RNAcentral
GGGGAAUUCACUAGUGAUUCAGGCCUAACACAUGCAAGUCGAGCGGGGUUUUCGGACAUAACGGCGGACGGGUGAGUAAUGCGUAGGAAGCUACCCGAUAGAGGGGGAUACCAGUUGGAAACGACUGUUAAUACCGCAUAAUGUCUACGGACCAAAGUGUGGGACCUUCGGGCCACAUGCUAUCGGAUGCGCCUACGUGGGAUUAGCUAGUUGGUGAGGUAAUGGCUCACCAAGGCGACGAUCCCUAGCUGGUUUGAGAGGAUGAUCAGCCACACUGGAACUGAGACACGGUCCAGACUCCUACGGGAGGCAGCAGUGGGGAAUAUUGGACAAUGGGCGCAAGCCUGAUCCUUCAUGACCGCGUGUGUGAAGAAGGCCUUCGGG